This 94-nucleotide non-coding RNA is filed under the name endosymbiont of Tevnia jerichonana (vent Tica). Its description in RNAcentral is "TPP riboswitch aptamer (THI element)". It matches the Rfam family "TPP riboswitch aptamer (THI element)". From Rfam's summary of the family: Vitamin B(1) in its active form thiamin pyrophosphate (TPP) is an essential coenzyme that is synthesised by coupling of pyrimidine and thiazole moieties in bacteria. The previously detected thiamin-regulatory element, thi box was extended, resulting in a new, highly conserved RNA secondary structure, the THI element, which is widely distributed in eubacteria and also occurs in some archaea. Lineage: Bacteria; Pseudomonadati; Pseudomonadota; Gammaproteobacteria. The record is from Rfam by way of RNAcentral. RNAcentral also lists the same sequence under 1 other name.
ACAACCAGCUAGGGGCGCCUGAUUUUCAGGCUGAGAGAGACCCUUACCACCUGAUCCGGUUAAUGCCGGCGUAGGGAAGCUGAACGCACCGACA